AUUUUUUCCCGCAAUGUUCUAUAGGGCACGUCCGUAAGCUGGACCUGCCAUUGGAAACACACGCUGAGGCUCUAUACCCCAUGGCCGUGUGCAUCCCCAAGUUUAAGCUUAUGGCUUGAUGACUGCGCUAUCAGUAGUGGUGGGUAUGCUACAGCGACGACGGUAGCUGUCUGAGAAAGACGAUCAGCGAUGGACUGAGAUACGACCCAGACUCUACGGGGGCAGCAUUAGGAAUCUGCGCAUGGGGCAUCCUGACGCAGCGACGCCGCGUGCGGGAUGAAGGCAUUCGUGUCGUAAACCGCUUUUACGGGGAAGAAGAAUUUGACGGUACCCGUCGAAUAAGCCCCGGCUAACUACGUGCCAGCAGCCGCGGUAAUACGUAGGGGGCGAGCGUUGUCCGAAGUUACUGGGCGUAAAGCGCGCGUAGGCGGUUUCUUAAGUUCGGGGUGAAAGGUUCAACGCUCAACGUGAACAGUGCCUUGAAUACUGGGAGACUUGAGUUCGGGAGAGGGCAGUGGAAUUCCUGGUGUAGCGGUGAAAUGCGUAGAUAUCAGGAGGAACACCGAUGGCGAAGGCAGCUGCCUGGCCUAGAACUGACGCUGAGGUGCGAAAGCGUGGGGAGCGAACAGGAUUAGAUACCCUGGUAGUCCACGCCGUAAACGAUGAGUGCUAGGUGUUCGGGGUAUCGACCCCCCGGGUGCCGCCGCUAACGCAGUAAGCACUCCGCCUGGGGAGUACGGCCGCAAGGUUGAAACUCAAAGGAAUUGACGGGGGCCCGCACAAGCGGUGGAGCAUGUGGAUUAAUUCGUCACUAACCGAAGAACCUUACCCAGGCUUGACAUCGCGUGUAACUCAGUGAAAGCUGAGCCCCUCCGCAAGGAGGCACAAAGACAGGUGUUGCAUGGCUGUCGUCAGCUCGUGUCGUGAGAUGUUGGGUUAAGUCCCGCAACGAGCGCAACCCUCACCGUAUGUUGCCAGCGUAAAGUCGGGAACUCUUACGGAACUGCCCGUGCAAGCGGGAGGAAGGUGGGGAUGACGUCAAGUCGGCAUGGCCCUUACGCCUGGGGCUUCACACAUGCUACAAUGGGCAGCAACAGACGGCUCCGAGACCGCGAGGUGGAGGGAAUCCGAGAAAUCUGUCCUCAGUUCGGAUUGCAGGCUGCAACUCGCCUGCAUGAAGCUGGAAUCGCUAGUAACCGCAGGUCAGCUAAACUGCGAAUGC
Molecule: ribosomal RNA, 1222 nt
Filed under: uncultured bacterium
Lineage: Bacteria
Description: partial 16S ribosomal RNA
Rfam family: Bacterial small subunit ribosomal RNA
Source: RNAcentral